RNAcentral lists this long non-coding RNA (5665 nucleotides) under Ananas comosus (pineapple). Its description in RNAcentral is "long non-coding RNA (ACOM_LNC008220)". Lineage: Eukaryota; Viridiplantae; Streptophyta; Magnoliopsida; Poales; Bromeliaceae. The record is from RNAcentral.
UAUAUAUAUGUGCUUAGAUUUAUAAUUAAAAUUGUGAUGGACCCAUUAAUGGCUCCCAUUCUAAUUUGUUUGUUACAACUACAAACUUUUGAGCUACUUGAAUUAAGAUUAAAUAAAGGAUGCAUAUUGCUUUAGGCUUAGCAUUUAAUUUGCAUAAAACUUAAUUUAGCACUAGUAUUUUCUCAAAAAAAAACUUGAGCACUAGUAUAGCGUAUGUACUACGUUAAAAUGACUAUUUCUGGAGUUAAAAUGGGUUUAAUUUGAGAGAUAGGUAGCACGCUACCCGCUUCGUUUAUUUCAUUUAGAAAUAAACUUAACUGAAAAUGUGAAUCAACUAGGAUUCGAACUUGAGUCUCGGGUAUCAACCACCAAAAUCUUUGCCACUUGCUACGGUUGGUUUAUAUUCUUAUUAAUUAGUAAUUAAUGGAAUGCAUGCAGUAAAAUGUUGUUUCCCUAUUACAACAUCCCACAUAAAGCCUUUGAGGUCCAAGCCCAACUUAUCGGCCCAUAUAUACAACAAGAUUUCGUAGAAAUUCGUGUUUUUUUUUUUGAAUUCAAAGUGUUUAAACUUUAAAAUAUUGGUUUAAUUUCCUUCCCUGAUGGAUAAAUCAAGAAAUAACACGUAAGUUUCUUGGUAAGUGGCCAUAUUUAUGUCAAAUUUUUUUUUUCACUUCGUAUUAAUUAAUUUCAUAUGUACUUCCACAUAGAGCUAGGUUUCAUACAUAUACGCUGUAAAUUUCGGAGUCCACCUGAAUUAGGCUUUUCUAUCACUAAAAUUAUUUUUGAUAUAGAGCAUCUAAAUCAAUGAUCAAUGAACAUAGUUUUCAUUAUUUAAAAAUCUAGAAAUAAAAUAAUCAUUGAAAGUUUUUUGCAUCACGUGGGGAUGCAAACAUCUAAGUACUUGAAAUAUAAGAAGAAAAGCGUUAUGUCCGCUUACAAAUUCUACAAAAUUUUUUUUGAAACAUUGCAAAGCAUUAAUUACAACUAGCAGAAGCAUUAUCCACUGAAAAAUUUUCAAGGACCAUUAUCCAUUCAAAUCACUGCCAAAUGUACCUACAAAUAUAUGACAUGCACGUAGAAAUUAAGAAAGAUAAGAUCAUAUAUAUAUAUAUAUAUAUAUCCUUACGUGUGUAGCACCAAUGGGAUUGAAUAAUGUGAUUCACGGGAGUAAUAUUUAUCUUAUCCUCCAAACAUGCAUGGUAUAUAGAACUGUCACUUCAACGAGAACUCGGAAAAGAUAGUAAGUGGAGCAUAAAAAGAAAGAUCGUGCUACAGGUUCCUUGUAGAAUUAAUUUUGUAAGUUAAUGCUGAUCUAUUAAUAAUAUGACUCAAUAUCAAAUUUAAUGAUAUGCAAUAUUGCUAAGUACGGUCUAGGCUAUUUAAUCUUUUUUAAAAAUCAUAUUUUCAAGUGGUCCUAAAAUUGACAAAUACUAGGUAAAUUUGAGACUUUGAUUGUUAGCAUUGUAGAAUUAUAAUUAGCUUAGAUUGCCUUUAUUAUUGAUCGAUGAUUAUCGAUUCAGAUGCUAUAUCAUUGAAAGUGACAUAGAGGUUAACAACUUUAUCUACAUCAGAAAUAUUCUAGUUCACCCUAAUAGUGUUAUUGCAUAUUAAUAAUAUUGUAAUAACAACAAUUAAAGAGAUUAUUAUUAUUAUUAUUAUUUUCAAAAGAAGCAGGGGCCGUGAUAACUGUCCGAGUGGAUAUGUUGGCUUGCGUGGAAGUGCGGUACAUUAGACUCUUUUGCUUAAAAUGACCUCCCCAGAAUCCUUUUCAAAAGUCAACCCUAUGUACGAGUGCUCGUUUAGUAUCAAGGCCCACAACUACUGCUAUUAAUUAAUAAAGCAUAGUUGGGACGAAAGCAAGUAAGAAAUUUUUUGUUUUUGUUUUUUGAUAGAAUUAUAGAAAAUAUAUUAUAAUUAAUUUAUUGCGAUAUUCACAACGUAAUAUUAAAUAUAAAAACAAAUAGAAUAUAUUUUUCAUCGUCAUUUUUUUACAGCAUGUAAUGUAAUUUUAUAGCAAUUUCAAACUGAGCUUUAAUUAUGAUUGACAUAGACAAUUUCUUUGCACGUUGGAGAAAUAGGUAACAAUAAUGUGCAGGAUGAAAAUUGGAUGAAUCAUAUAAUGGAUGCAUGUGGAGAUAGAAUUCCAAUUUGUUUGGAAAUAAAGAGAUUUAAAACCAACUAUUAUAAUGCUUUAUCAAAAACGUAACUUUGAUGNAAUGGAUGCAUGUGGAGAUAGAAUUCCAAUUUGUUUGGAAAUAAAGAGAUUUAAAACCAACUAUUAUAAUGCUUUAUCAAAAACGUAACUUUGAUGGAAAAAAAAAAGGUCCAAAGCUAAUUCAACUUUUUUUUUUUUUUUCAGAGAAAUAGGUAGCAUGCUACUCGCUUCGUUUAUUUCAUUUAGAAAAAAACUUAGUUGGAAAUGCGAAUCAACUAGGAUUCGAACUUGGGACCUCGGAUACCAACCAUCAAACCCUUUGUCACUUGCUCUAGAAACGGCCGGUAAAGCUAAUUCAACUUUGACACCAAGAAAUGCACUACUCAGUACUAUCUAUAUCCGAUGCCACCGUGCCCUACAGUAAUGCCAUAACAGGCCCUUCAUCGACAUCCAUUUCCGUAUUGUUAUCUUAUCUUCGACAAUUUAACUCUUCUAUCCCUGUAGGGCCUUCUCAUUUCAACGUGUAUAUAUAUGAGGUAGCUUAACGAGUGACAAACGCACCAAGGAGAUAACUUUAAUUGCUCUCAUAUAUAUACAUAUAUGUCGAUCCGUAGAGGAGUGGUGCUACUGUUGCUUAUCUUCCUACUAGUAAUUAGUGUAGAGUUCGAGAUCACCAUGACCGAAUCUCGGUUGAUAAGCGCUAACAACGAAGAACGUAGCCAUGAUCAGAUAUUGUUGCAUGUGUAUCAUAGUGUUAUUUGGUCCCCGCGAGAAGGCGAUGGUGAUGGCAAGCGAGACGUGCCCAGUGGACCGGACCCUCUGCACCAUGGCUCGGCGCCCCAAUCGCCCUAGACAGAGAGAGAGACAAAGAGAUGCACCGCAAGAAAAUAUACAUGUAGCCUUAAUCAGGCCUUCUAUACAAUUUUCGUUUUAGUGAGAGAGCUUGAGAGAUUUUUGCUCAAUUUCUGAGAAGCAGGUGCAGUUAAAACUUAUUUGCCGCGCGUUUUAUUUUCUUGUACUCUUUCUUAAGUGUGGAUUUGCAUAUUGAAGGGAGGCCUAGCUAGGGAGAAUUGAUCAAGAACACUUGAAUAAAUUAAAGAAGUAUAACAAACGAAAAAAAAAUUAUAGUAAUAAUGAAUGUUGUAUUAUGGGUAAUAUAUAUAUCUUGUUAGUGUUGUUUAUCUCGAUGAUAAUGCAGAAUCAUUUAUGCCGAUAUCUAUAUUUUUUUUCAUCCUGAAUUACUUCUUUUGUAGUCUUUUUCUUAUUUAUCUUUCCUCCACCUCUUCUGCCAUAUGUGCAACUUAUUUAGCCCAUCAUUGCCUUGGGAUUGGUUCAUCCGCCGCCGCUCAUUUACAUCUAUCACCUCAUUUAGGCGUUUGGUUUGACGUAAAACUGCGGAAAAAAAAUUUUUGGUGAAAAAAAAUAUUUUAGGAAAAAAUAAAUUUUACGCUCUAGCGUUUUGGUUUAUAUUUUUUUUUUAUUUUUUUUUUUUUUUUUUUUUUUUUUUUUUUUUUUUUUUUUUUUUUUUUUUUUUUUUUUUUUUGUUUUUUUUUUUUUUUUUUUUUUUUUUUUUUGGAAAAAAAGAGUUAGUUUUCCGUUACGGUUGUUUUGGUUUGAAAAAAAAAUAAAGGAAAAAAAGAAAAAAGUUAGAUUAUAAAUAAAAAAAAAUUAUUAUUAGUAAUAUAGUAUAUAUAUAUAUUUAUAUUUUUAGUAUAUAUAUACUAGUAAAAUGUACGUGCAAUGCACGUAAUAAUUAUUUAGAAAAAUUUUAUAAUUUUUUUAAAUUAUUUUAAUUUUAGGCAUAUGUUUAUAUGGAUUGCCAAAUAUAUAUCUAAAAAAAUUAAAAUAAUAAAUCACGUAUUAAGAAAAGAUAUCUUGUAAAUGAUACAAAUAAUAACAAUAAUCUCUAAUGCAAAAAAUUACUUUUGAAAUUAAAUAGAAAAUAAGAAUCUGUUAGAAAUAAUUUUUUGAAUUAAAUAGAAAAAUAAAAUCCGUUAUCUUAAAAAGGAAAAUAUAUUUUGAAAAUAAAUAGAAUAAUAUCUAAAAAAAGAUAUUUAAAAUAAAAGUAGAAAAAGAUUCUUAUAGGAUUUUUCACACCGUAAUCUGUUAUAGAAAACGAUAAAUUAUAAAUUAUAUAGGAUCAAUCACUAAUCUGUUUAUAGAGAACUUACGUAUUCAUUGCUAUUUCUAUUCUAUUUUUCUUAUAUUUAAAAUUUUUUUGUGUUAUAUUGUUGUUAAAAUGGCGCGAAAAAUGAGAGUAUGUUGUCGACAGACCCAAAUUUGAACUAUACGUGCUUUUUAUAUAUAUAUAUAUAUUAUGUAUUUUAUAUAUAUAUUAUUAUAUUAUAUUAUUUUAUUUAUAUAUUUUAUAUUUUAUAAAAGAGCAGGUCUACUAUACGUAUCUAUAGUCCGAGCUCGGUCAUAUAGGUUGGUUUCGAUGCUUAGGCGUUCAAAUCAACGAUCCACAUUGUUUUAAAAGCUGAUCUAGAGUGUUUUAAAGUUUUCUAGAAUAAAAUUUUAUAUUUUUCAAACAUAGUUUAUUUUUUAUGUUUAUUUCAAAAUUUUUGUCAAUUUUAUUGUUUAUUAUGACGAGUUGAAGUUUAACGGUGUUAGAAGAAUCUAAAAUUCUUCCAAAUUUUGAUUAGAAAAUACUUUUAACUUAAUAGAUUCUCACGAUUAACAUCUUUGAUCUUGAAUUUAAAAGUCCUAUGCUCAAAAUAUUACAACCUGUUAUAAUUUUAUUUGUAACGAUAUCGAAAAAGCUAAAAUUUUAUCUGUAUAUUCAUAUACCUAGUAUUAACGGUGGUGGAUCGUUGAUUGAUCGGCCCUAAGAUUAAAAAACAAACACUAUGUACCGGAGCUCGGUACUAUAGAUGAAGUAUAAGCUAAUUCUAUAUAAUAUAAUAAGUAAUUAGUAAUAUAUUAUUAGUAUAUUAUAUAUUAUUAAUAUAUAAUAAUUAUCAUAUUACUAAUAUUAUAAUUUAUAUUUGUAAAUAAAAUAUAUUUAAAAUAUAUUGUACAAUAAGUAUAUAAUAUAAUAUAAUAUAAUAGUAUAUAUAUAUUUAAUACUAUAAAAUAAAUUUAUAAAUAAUAUAUAUAUAUAUAUAUUCCUCUUUCCCAAAAUACCGACCCCUAUUAAUUUAAUUCCAAUCACAUACUAAUAAUAUCAUUCAUUCAACUUUAAUGAAAUUUAUGCUUAUCCAAAUUUUUGUCAACUCAAGGACAUUUGCUGUAGAAUAUUUUUCACAAGCACUCUAUAAAAUAAUAUUCCAUACUUAUCAAAGAAAUGAAAAUCUCUAUGCAACAAACAUUGAAAAUAUUUUGUAUCUACUAUCUCUCAAUUAGCUAAUUAAAAAAAAUUAGGUUUGAAAAAUAAAAUGAUUUAAAUAAGCUUAUCAAAUCAACUUUAAAUUUUAAAUUUGGUUUAUAAUUUCAAAUGUGAAUUAAUAUUUUAAUUCAAAAUUUGAAAUUAAUUAAAAUUUCAAUAUUUUGGGUGUGUAAACAGUAUUU